This 74-nucleotide transfer RNA is filed under the name Picocystis salinarum. Its description in RNAcentral is "tRNA-Pro". It matches the Rfam family "tRNA". Rfam says of the family: Transfer RNA (tRNA) molecules are approximately 80 nucleotides in length. Their secondary structure includes four short double-helical elements and three loops (D, anti-codon, and T loops). Further hydrogen bonds mediate the characteristic L-shaped molecular structure. tRNAs have two regions of fundamental functional importance: the anti-codon, which is responsible for specific mRNA codon recognition, and the 3' end, to which the tRNAs corresponding amino acid is attached (by aminoacyl-tRNA synthetases). tRNAs cope with the degeneracy of the genetic code in two manners: having more than one tRNA (with a specific anti-codon) for a particular amino acid; and 'wobble' base-pairing, i.e. permitting non-standard base-pairing at the 3rd anti-codon position. RNAcentral also lists the same sequence under 1 other name. Lineage: Eukaryota; Viridiplantae; Chlorophyta; Picocystophyceae; Picocystales; Picocystaceae. The record is from RNAcentral.
CAGGGUGUAGCGCAGUGGGUCAGCGCACCUGUUUUGGGAACAGGGGGUCGCAGGUUCGAAUCCUGCCACCUUGA